GGCUUGUUAGUAUAUCGGUAGUACGCUUGCUUUGGGUGCAAGUAGGUCGGGUUCAAUUCCCGAACGAGCCC
Paramecium tetraurelia is the source of this 71-nucleotide transfer RNA. It matches the Rfam family "tRNA". Rfam says of the family: Transfer RNA (tRNA) molecules are approximately 80 nucleotides in length. Lineage: Eukaryota; Ciliophora; Oligohymenophorea; Peniculida; Parameciidae. The record is from Rfam.